CGAGCGCAACCCUUGUCCUUAGUUUACCAGCACGUUAUGGUGGGCGACUCCAAGGAGACUGCCGGUGACAAACCGAGGAAGGUGGGGAUGACGUCAAGUCAUCAUGGCCCUUACGGCCUGGGCUACACACGUGCUACAAUGGUCGGUACAAAGGGUUGCCAAGCCGCGAGGUGGAGCUAAUCCCAUAAAACCGAUCGUAGUCCGGAUCGCAGUCUGCAACUCGACUGCGUGAAGUCGGGAUCGCUAGUAAUCGUGAAUCAGAAUGUCACGGUGAAUACGUUCCCGGGCCUU
This 291-nucleotide ribosomal RNA is filed under the name uncultured Pseudomonas sp. RNAcentral describes it as "partial 16S ribosomal RNA". It matches the Rfam family "Bacterial small subunit ribosomal RNA", at positions 1093 to 1382 of the family's 1533-position model. The record is from RNAcentral. Lineage: Bacteria; Pseudomonadati; Pseudomonadota; Gammaproteobacteria; Pseudomonadales; Pseudomonadaceae.